Culex quinquefasciatus (southern house mosquito) is the source of this 1184-nucleotide long non-coding RNA. RefSeq lists it as uncharacterized. Lineage: Eukaryota; Metazoa; Arthropoda; Insecta; Diptera; Culicidae. The record is from RefSeq and is a predicted model, not a curated record. The transcript is spliced from 4 exons.
UACAAUAUUCAACGCAACCUUGUACACAAGUUUUACUGUCAAUUUUCGUGUAAAAUUAUCGACGAAUUCAUUUAGCCGACUUUGACAGAUCUCAUAAAAUCCCAGUGCCAUCAGUUUCCUUCUGUCAGGUGCAUCGCGAUCGUAUUUCGAGUUGCCCGAAAUGGUGAGUGAGAGCGGUGAGAGCUAAACACCCGCAGGAGUGAGCCUCAUACCCGGUUCUAAUCUGUCGGACAAAACACGACUGGUCUUCGGAGCGUCGAUCUGAACCGGCGGACUCGGUACGUGACAUCUAAACAGCCGCAGACAGCGCUGACGGUCGUUGCCGGUGGAAAUGCCCAGAUUGUCAACUCGCGGAAGCCAUUCAUCGACUCUUCCAAAGGAGUGAAUUCUCCCAACCUCCAGGCCGUGCAUCAGUCCCGGUUCAAAUCUUCCGGACACAACACGAACGGGCUUUGGAGCGUCCUCCUGAAACCGGCGAACUCGGUACGUGACAGCUAAACACCUGCAGACGGACGCCAAAGAAGUAAAUUCCCCCAACCUCCAGGUCGCGCAUCAUACCCGGUUCAAAUCUGCUGGACAAAACUUGACCGGGAAGAUGAGCUCCCGGUGGGCUUCCGACUAAGCUGCAACGUCGUCGGGAUGUGGACUUCCCCCGGAAGCUGCACGCUCAUCUCCCCGAAGCAGUCCAUCGGCGCCGCAUGGUGUCGAACGAAGAUGAGUUCCCAGUGGGCUUCCGGCCAAGCUGCAACGUCGUCGGGAUGUGGAAAUCCCCCGGAAGCCGCACGCUCAUCUCCCCGAAGCAGUUCAUCGGCGCCGCAUGGUGUCGAAUGAAGAAUUGCACCACUAUCGAAACAAGUUGGCCAUGUUGACUUCAAGGCGCGAAAUAGUCGGAAGCUGGACAUCUUCCCAAAGCAGUCCAUCGGCGCCGCAUGGUGUCGAAUGAAGGUUAGCUCGCGGUGGGCUUCCGGCCAAGCUGGAACGUCGUCGAGAUGAGGACUUUGCGCCUCCCCGUCGGAGACUGCCGAUCAAAAUCGGUAUCCAGGACGAGUGAAAAAGUGAAAAAACUUUUUAACGACCUCUUAAGAAGAAAAAUGCUCAUUCAGUUGGAUUAAUGUCGGUGGGAAUAGAUUUCUUCGAAAUGCAUGUAUUGUUGUGUUAAUAAAAUUGUUUUUUUUAGCAUUUUA